Molecule: ribosomal RNA, 440 nt
Filed under: uncultured bacterium
Lineage: Bacteria
Description: partial 16S ribosomal RNA
Rfam family: Bacterial small subunit ribosomal RNA
Source: RNAcentral
CCUACGGGAGGCAGCAGUGGGGAAUAUUGCACAAUGGGGGAAACCCUGAUGCAGCGACGCCGCGUGAGUGAUGAAGUACUUCGUUAUGUAAAGCUCUAUCAGCAGGGAAGAAAAUGACGGUACCUGAGUAAUAAGCACCGGCUAACUACGUGCCAGCAGCCGCGGUAAUACGUAGGGGGCCAGCGUUAUCCGGAUUUACUGGGGGUAAAGGGAGCGUAGACGGCAGUGCAAGUCUGGAGUGAAAGGCGGGGGCUCAACCCCCGGACUGCUCUUGAAACUGUACGGCUGGAGUGCAGGAGAGGUACGUGGAAUUCGUGGUGUAGCGGUGAAAUGCGUAGAUAUUAGGAAGAACACCAGUGGCGAAGGCGGCCUGCUGGACAGAAACUGACGUUGAGGCACGAAAGCGUGGGGAGCAAACAGGAUUAGAUACCCCAGUAGUC